RNAcentral lists this ribosomal RNA (253 nucleotides) under uncultured bacterium. RNAcentral describes it as "partial 16S ribosomal RNA". It matches the Rfam family "Bacterial small subunit ribosomal RNA", at positions 524 to 776 of the family's 1533-position model. The record is from RNAcentral.
UACAGAGGGGGCAAGCGUUAUUCGGAAUUAUUGGGCGUAAAGGGCGCGUAGGCGGCCAUUCAAGUGACGGGUGAAAGCCCUCGGCUUAACCGAGGAACUGCCUGUCAGACUGGAUGGCUUGAGACCGGGAGAGGUGAGUGGAAUUCCCAGUGUAGCGGUGAAAUGCGUAGAUAUCUGGAGGAAUACCGGUGGCGAAGGCGGCAUCCUGGACCGGCAUUGACGCUGAGGAGCGAAAGCCAGGGGAGCAAACGGG